GAUGAACGCUGGCGGCGUGCCUAAUACAUGCAAGUCGAGCGAACGGACGAGAAGCUUGCUUCUCUGAUGUUAGCGGCGGACGGGUGAGUAACACGUGGAUAACCUACCUAUAAGACUGGGAUAACUUCGGGAAACCGUAGCUAAUACCGGAUAAUAUUUUGAACCGCAUGGUUCAAAAGUGAAAGACGGUCUUGCUGCCACUUAUAGAUGGAUCCGCGCUGCAUUAGCUAGUUGGUAAGGUAACGGCUUACCAAGGCAACGAUGCAUAGCCGACCUGAGAGGGUGAUCGGCCACACUGGAACUGAGACACGGUCCAGACUCCUACGGGAGGCAGCAGUAGGGAAUCUUCCGCAAUGGGCGAAAGCCUGACGGAGCAACGCCGCGUGAGUGAUGAAGGUCUUCGGAUCGUAAAACUCUGUUAUUAGGGAAGAACAUAUGUGUAAGUAACUGUGCACAUCUUGACGGCACCUAAUCAGAAAGCCACGGCUAACUAUGUG
This 497-nucleotide ribosomal RNA is filed under the name uncultured bacterium. Its description in RNAcentral is "partial 16S ribosomal RNA". It matches the Rfam family "Bacterial small subunit ribosomal RNA", at positions 28 to 507 of the family's 1533-position model. The record is from RNAcentral.